UCUUUCACUUCGGCGGAACGUUGUUUCCGGCGCAGGCGGUUUCAGGCCGGAGCGCGUUUCCAAGGGCACACCGUGGCUCCUAAGUUGUGGCUUCAGUAUUCGUUCUGUGUUGGGUUCUUAGCCGGACGCCGCGCGCGGGCCGAGAAUGAUACCUCACCCAAUCAGCUCGCGCGGGUUCGCGCACGGAGGGAGCGCGCUUGCUUGCCCAGCAGGAUUAUGCUUAGCCCCACGCAAAACAGGUCUGGGCUCAUUGUGUCAGAGCUGCGGAAGAAGGAAAGGCAGGCGCGCGGCCCCGACACAAUGGGCUCUAGCCGGCUGAGAGUGGACGGCCGACUCCCGCAGUAGUUCUCCAGUCCCUCUUUUUUUUCUCAUGUGGGGCGGCAGUAUUAGCUGCAGAAACCGGCGCAGGAGCAAGGGCAAAACCACCCCCACUUCCCUUGCUCGGUCCACGCUGGCACCGGGGUUUUAGGAGCUAGUCUGUUUCCUGGACUGCGCUUCUCAAUUUGCCUUUUUUUUCGUUUAUCUGCUCUUGACAUACCCUCCUGCUUUUACUCUUUGCUUCUCCCUUUUCGAAGGCCAGGUGCCACAAACCAAAGCUUUCCUCCUUCCCCCCAUCUCCGGCCAGAAUACUCGGAGGUUGGUACCCAGGGUGUAGGUUUGGCAUAUGGGACAAGUGGCACGAAUGCCCUCACCUGUCUCUUCCACGUUUCGUGGAGGUUGCCCAGGUUUUGAAAACGAGGAUCCUGGAGCAGUCAAACUCGGCAUUUAUAAAGUAGAUCCGCUCUCCCCACUUAAAGCUAAAGAAGCUCUCCAAAAAACUGGUAAACCUCAGAUUAUGUAUUGGUUUCCCAGGCAUUGAACCUGCCAGGAUAAAGGCAGGAAAUCAGGAUGCUUUGACACUUGUCAUUGAUGUCACUGAACCUACAGACGAGGUAGAGUGUGUAAAAUGGUCCUGUGUUAUCUACGUUCUUUAAUUGUUGCUUAGUACCCUAAAAAUUAAUAGUUAGUUUUGGAUAAAAUUAGGUGGACCACCAAAAGGAGAUGUCAUUAGGGCUAGAGACUCAUAUAGGGCAAUUAGGCUCUCCAGAUAAGCUGUAAUUUAUAUAGUACCUGAAAAUGAGGAAUCAGGACAGGAAUUUAUUUUGGGGGACAGGUUAUAAAAAGGCAUUUUUUAAUGAUUUUAAACAAGUCUACAAGCUUAGAUGCCCACUCUUGCAAGAAGGUAGAAUAAAAUUCUUUUCUGGCUUCAUCAGAUCUAUUUGGUUCUUGGUAGGACAUAUCUUUUACAAAUUGGGUGCUCUUCUGGAAUCCAGACAUCCUGAGAGGGCAUGGUCAUUGUUGAAGGAUGGGAAGAUGAGUCCCAUUGAUUUAAACAGACUCAUGGAUUGACUUAUAGGCAGCCCUACUCAGAAACUGUUCUGGAUUCUAAGACCACAUGGAUAAGACCGAUGAUGAAUCCAGGAAAUCAGAAAGGGAAAAAGAAAGUACCUCGGAAUCUAGGCAACUCUGUGCAUAGGCCAAGGAUAAAAAAGUGAACCAUCUAGUAUAGCCUUUGUGGUUGGGGAAUCUUACAAGGGUCUCAGAUGUCUCAAGUAAGAUGGAUAAUAAAAAUUUAAGAUAUAAUUUGCCUCAUAGAAGACAAAGAAAAGGCAUGAAAGCCUUGUGGCCAUUCCUUCAAAAUAGUUCCUAAAGGGGGAUGUGGGAAUACUAGGAAGGUACAUUCUGUACUACACAGGAAAAAUAAAUUUAAACCAUGUUUUUUCUUCUCUCAGUCUCUCUCCCUCUCCCAAUCAGCUAAAUUGCAGAUGAGAGGAUUUAGCUGUUUGUGCUUCAGUAGCUAAACUGAGUUUCCUUGAAGGUUGUUUUCCUGAAAUAAAAACUUAGUCUCCAGGUUACUAGCUUGAAAAGGGUGACAAUGCCCUCUUGCAUUAGUUUCUCUCCCUUUCUGAUCCAGACGAAGGCACUGGUUCUAGACCCUUGCAUAUAGAUCCACCACUUCUUUCUAAACAUGGACUCCUGUCCUUGACCCCAAUGGUCUUAGUAUCCUCCUCAUGGGACUCCAUACAUGUAGAAGGAUCUUAUUUGUAUCAGUUCUCCCUAGACCGGAGAUCUGAGUAGUUCCUCCCUCCCCUUAAAAAGGAGUCUGCUUUUCACCUGGCUUGAGAAAAUCUGGAUGGCUAACCAAACAGAAGCUGUCAUUUAAAAAAAAAAAAACUCUUUUCUUUUUCCUCAGACUACAGGAAGGAGUAAAUAGACAGGUGGAAUAGAGAAAGGGGAAGCCUACAAUUUUAAAAAUAGUCCCUUGGGAAGACCCAAGCCACUAUUACGCCCCUAAAUGAGAUCAGGAAAAAAGGAGUCUGUGUCUCUCAGUUUCCAGGCGCCUCCUCAUGUCUCAGAAAGUUUACUGCCACAUUAAAAAUUUGGGGAAUCUGGAAAAAUGGAGUGUCAAGGGGGUGAAGACCUAUACCUUUUGAAAUAAAACUGGCAUAUUUAACAUUUCUCCUGCUUCCCAAAAGAGAAAAAGGUUUCUCCUCAAAAUGUGCCAAAUUUGUGUGUUUAAAUCAUAAAUCUGAUUCUAAAUUAAAUAAGAUUAGAAUCACUUUUAAUUGAUGCAUGCUAAAAUUGUUUAUCUGAGCAUAAAAUUUUACUAAUAUAUGUAUAUUAAUUUUUAAUCCUGAAGUAUUACUAGAAAUUUAAAUUUGAAUUUGAUUUGACUUUAAGCCAAAAAUUAAGCCUUAAAGCAAAAGUUUUCUAUGGUAACUUACUCAACCUAAUGAAUUCACAUGUUUAUAUCUUCUUUAUUUAAGGUAUUAUGAUGCCUUUUAAAUUAUAUAUUGUGCAAAUUGUAAAAUUGUAUGAGCUGUUUUAAAAUUUUGUCAGCCCUGCUGAAUACAUGAAAGUUAUAUAAAGUCUCAUCCCAAAUUAUUUAGUUAUUGCUUGUAUUCUGAAUUUUAAGGUUUGUCUUGUUUUCUCCCUGACACAAAGAAAUUUACUUAGAGAGGAAGGAAAGGCUGCCCAAGUUGGAUCUACAAAAAUGAAAUUAAGUAAUUGAAGCUAUAAUUACAAAAUUAUACAUUUUAUAAAAAGUUUAAAAAAUGUUUUAAAAGCAAGUGACAAGAAAGCUUGAUUAUAAAAGCAAUUGAUAAGAUUAAAAGUUUUAUUGUUCUAAGAAGGAAAGAAAGUUUGUUUUUCCAUACCCCACCACCCUACUUACUCCCUGAUUGAAAAGAUAGGUGGAUGGGAGAGAGAAAAAAAAAAAAGAAAUUGUACUCAGUAUAGUGAAGACUGUUUGAGAUGUAAUGAUGGGGCAAUAAGAAAAAAACAGGACAUGCAUUUUUGAAGGGACUUUCUUCGAAGUCCUCUAAAGGGAUAUGUAUGUGGAAGGGAAAUCAACAAAGUUUAAGUGUGUUGGAAUGAGAGGAGCAUGAGCAAAAAGGGAUUUGAAAAUUUAGAAACUUUGGGGAAAACAAGCAAUUUGCUACCACUUUAAAAACUGGUGAGAAGUAGCCUAUAUUUGUGUUUUCAGGAGUCAGUCUUGUGGGGCUGUGCCAGUGAAAAUUUCAAGGUAAAAAGGUCUGCUUCUUGAAGUAAAAACUGGCUGGCAAAGGGCUAAAAGAUUUAUGUUAAUUGGGAAAAAAUCAAAAGGUAAAUGAGUUUGAAUGGAACAUCUAGUUAGAAAUUUGUAGAAAAUAUGUUUAAAACCUGUUAUGUUAUUAUCUAUCUGUAUUUAAUGUUUUGUAACUCAUUUAGGGAAUGAAACAACUCUACUCUUUGCUUGUAAGUUAAGAAGUUAUAGCUAAAACAAAUUGGCUAUCACGAAAGUUGUAAGAUUGUUAAUUACUAUGUAUAGAAAUGUGGGGAUGAGAUGAAAACUUUAUGCAGAUUGGUUUUACAUUUUAAAGCUGUUCACCUAGAGAUCUGGGAAUAUGCAGUUCCAUUUCUCUCUCCACAGAAUGUGUCAAAGAAUAAAGCCUACAAGGAUAGUUGGGGUGAACAGAUAAGAGCAGCAAGUUCAGUCCCUUUCUCUAGGGUUUGUAAUAGAUUUCUUAAAGUUAUUUUGUGAACAAAGUCCAUCAGUCCUAGAAAAAAAAUUUAUUUGGGUUAUGUAAUUCCAAAUAAGAAAUGGGUUUAAUAGGAAUCUAUAAGCUUUUUAUAUAAAGAUGAUUGUUAAUGAUUGGUUUCUAACAACAAGAUAGGUUUAAACUCAAGAAGGAGAAGGAAGGAAAACAAUUGAAAGAGGUUAAAUGAAAUAUCUUAUGUAUGUAAAGCCUGGUAAACUUUAUUAUUGUGAUAAGACUAAUUUAAUUAUAUUUUAUUAUAUUCAAUUCUACAUGUUAAGUCUUUGGUUGUUGUUAUUGAUCAUCUUAAAAUAAGAAUGUUGUACUUAAAACUAUCUCAGAUAUCAAAUUGUGAAUUUUCUGUUUAAAUCUCUAUUACCAAUACAGUACUUAUUAUUUAGGAUCCUUGAGAGCUGAACCUACCUAAAGGUAUGAUUAUUUGCUAUUUGUGAAACUUGCUAUUUGAGAUAAAAAUCUCUCCAGAUUAUAACUGAGUUUGGAUUCAGGUGUGAAGAAUGGACCAUUAAGUCAGCAAAUCCACAGUCUCAGAGAAAUGCCACUAUUAAAAAUUUAAAACAAAGAAAUAAACACAAAUCUUACUCAAAUUACAAAAACUGCUAAAAUGUACCAAAUAUAAGUUAAUUACUUUAGGAAAUAAGAAAAAUUGAAGAGAUGGAAAAAAUAGAAUAAAAUAAGUUAUCUUAUUUCAAAAACAAUUGACUUGGAAAACACAUCAAGGAAAGAUAAUUUGUAAAUCAAUGGAGUACCUGAAAACUAUGACCAAAAAUAUCAUGUAUUUCAAGAAAUCAUAAAAAAAAUGAUCAAAAAGAAUAAGGCAAAAAUGAAAAUAGAAUCUACUGAUCACUUGCAAGAUGAAACUCCCAAAUGAAAACUCCCAGGAAUAUCACUGCUCAAAUCCAGUGCUUUCAGGCCAAAGAAAAAAGUAUUGAAAGCAGCCAGAAAGAAUUCAAGAACCACAUUCAGGAUUCAAGAACCACAUCAGGAUUUAGCAGCUACCAUUUUACAGGAAUGGAGAACAUGAAAUGCAACAUUGCAAAAGGUAAAAGAUAUAGAUUGUAAUGACCGCGUAUUUAAAAUCAGCCGGAGUCAGGAAUUCAGGUUAAGGGGAAAAUCUUCAAUAUUUAUUGAAGUGAAGAGGUGAAUAAAGAUUGCGAUAGCAAAUAUGGGCAGUUGCGACAGGAAGCCAGCUAACAGAGAGAGACGCGAGCUGAGCCAACCGUGGUAAAAGCAAUCCCAAAAAAUCUCUCCUCCCCUUCCUUUUCCACUCCCCUGCCUCCACCCACCAAAAUCGUCAUUUCCUAUACAACACAUCAGGACUUGCACAAAGAGUGGGUGGGGGCCAUUCUUUCUCCAAGCUUAUAUAUUAAUAGAGUAUGGUCCAAUUACUAUUUUGCCUCAUAUGCUUGGGACCUCAGUGCAUCAACUCAAGCCUCAGCCCAUUACAAUAGAUCUACAAACCAAGAAUAAUUUACCAAGUGAAUAUAAGGCCACAAAGAAAAAAGAAAAUGCAUCUUCAAAGAAAUAGAAGCCUUCCAACAAUUCCAAAGAAAAAACCAGAGCAGAAAAGGAACUUUGAAAUACUAAUAUAAGAAUCAAGAGAAACAUAAAAAGAGCAUUGGAACACCUGUGACAAUCUACAGAGGAAAAGGCCCCACUGAACACAAGCAUGACACCAACAAUCUGCCACAAAUUAAAAAAAAAAAAAAAAAAAGCAAUCAAAGGAGAAAAGAACCCACUUGUAGAAUGUUACUAUGGGGAUAAGGACAAGAGAAAGCCAAUGAAGUUAUAAUAGACCAAGAAAUAAUAAAACAAAAUACAAGAAAGUGUGUGACAUUUCAUAAGAAAAACAAGUGAUCUGGAGAACAGAACAAGAAGAAAAAACAAAAUAACUGGACUACCUGAAAGCUACGAUUUUAAAAGAUGGCUACCUUAAAAGAUGGCAGAUUUUGGAAUGUCAUAUAUAUAGAAGAGCAAAAAAAACUGGGGUUGUAGUAAAAAAGGUCAUAACCAGCAAAAUAAACAUAAUUCUGAAUGAAAAAAAAAAAGGAUAUUCAAUGAACUGCCAGACUUUCUGGAUUUUGUUGCAAAAAUAUUUGAACUUAACAGAAAAUGUGACAUAUAAGAUCCAAAAGAAAUAUAAAGUAAAUGUCAAAGACUCAAUAAGGACAAACUGUUUAUGUUUUAUACAUGGAAAUAUAAGUCAUAUGUCUAAGAUUGUCAUUGAUAAUUGGGGAGUCUGAAACUAAGAUUGGAGUAGAGCUGAAAAUGAUGAUUCCAAAAAGCAAAACCUGAAUGAAAAGAUAAACAAAAUAGUUAUAUUAUACAAAUGAAGUACAAGACUAAGGGCUGAUAGAGGAAUUAGGGGGAAGAGGGCUGGAAUCCUGCUCACAUUGAGAACGAACAAUUUAAAGAAGGAACAAUACAUAUUUACCUAGGAAGGUAUAAAAAGUCUUCUAAAUGUAUAAAGAAAUAAAAGGGUGAGAGAAUAGGAUUGGGGGGAAUAAAAAGAUGUGUAGAUAAAUGGGAAAGGGAUAAAAAGUGAUGGAGAGAGGAUAAGGGAGGGAGAGGUAAGGGUAAGUUAAAUAAUAGCAAAGCAAGAUAGGUAGAAGUAAAGCAUAGGAGUCAGCAUGACUAGGAAAUAAGAGGCACAUACAAACAAUAAUAAUUAUCAAGAGUAAGAUUUAUUAGAGAAAAAAACAAGGGUAGUUAAAUCAUUAAUCUCAGACAAAAUUAAAUUUAAAAUAGAUUUAAUCAAAAAAGGAAAAAUAGAGAAACUACAUUGUAUGUCAGGCAUAUUAAUAUUGGUUUAGACUAUUUAAAAUAACUAGAUAGUAUAAGGUUGGAAUAUUUCUGUGGUGUAAGAAAUUAUGAGUUUGAUAGAUUUAGAAAAAUAUAAAAAGACUUGGAUUUAUGAAGGACAAAGUUAUGCACCUUCAGAAAAACAGAGGACAGAAAAACAAGCAUACAGCCUUACAUAGAUGUAUAUGAAUGUAUAUGUGUAUACAUGUAUAUGAUUAGCGAUGUCUACAUAUAUAUAUGUACACAUACAUAUAUAUACACAUACAUACACACAUAUCUAUGCUUAAAUGGAGCCUUCAUGGGAGAAAUCAGGGGAAAGAAAGGGAGAAAAAAAGAAUAAAGUAAAAAGUGCACAGCAGAGAUUGGAAUGGGCUUCAGUGCUAUGUGCUUUGCCUCAUGACUGGGAAAGCCUCCUCUGCCUGACUUCUCACCACUAUAUAGGAUAAAAAAAUAAAACCUAUAGGGAAACAAAGAAAGCUUGAUGGCUCUGAAUACAAUGCGUAGUAUUUAUUUUAAAGGCUUUUUUGAAAUGGAAAUUAGUCUCAUAUUUUGAGACUGUUCUGCUGUGCACAUAGCAAUGUUUUUUCUUUUUCCAUUUUGUAUUUGUUUUUAAUAAAUAAACAAAAAAACCCUAAUUUACUGGGAUUGUGAAUAAAUCUUUAAUUUAUUCACACACCUUUUCCAACAGCAGUGUAAGUGCUGAUUUUCAUCAUAAUUCUAAUAAUACCUACUCCUUGAGUCCGAGAGGA
Antechinus flavipes (yellow-footed antechinus) is the source of this 7627-nucleotide long non-coding RNA. RefSeq lists it as uncharacterized. The record is from RefSeq and is a predicted model, not a curated record. The transcript is spliced from 3 exons. NCBI's taxonomy places the organism in Eukaryota, Metazoa, Chordata, Mammalia, Dasyuromorphia, Dasyuridae.